GACGAACGCUGGCGGCGUGCUUAAUACAUGCAAGUCGAGCGAGGCCCAUCCGGUGGCAACACCGGGGAAGGCCGAGCGGCGAACGGGUGAGUAACACGUGAGCAACCUGCCCCGAAGUCUGGAAUAACAUCGGGAAACCGGUGCUAAUACCGGAUCGCCCCACCUGACCGCCAUAGAGUCGGGUGGAGGAAAGAAUUUAUUCGCUUCGGGAGGGGCGUCGCGGCCUAUCAGCUAGUUGGUGGGGUAACGGCCUACCAAGGCGUCGACGGGUAGCUGGUCUGAGAGGACGACCAGCCACACUGGGAC
RNAcentral lists this ribosomal RNA (306 nucleotides) under uncultured bacterium. RNAcentral describes it as "bacterial SSU rRNA". It matches the Rfam family "Bacterial small subunit ribosomal RNA", at positions 28 to 319 of the family's 1533-position model. The record is from RNAcentral.